RNAcentral lists this ribosomal RNA (492 nucleotides) under uncultured bacterium. RNAcentral describes it as "partial 16S ribosomal RNA". It matches the Rfam family "Bacterial small subunit ribosomal RNA", at positions 29 to 507 of the family's 1533-position model. The record is from RNAcentral.
AGUGAACGCUGGCGGUAGGCCUAACACAUGCAAGUCGAACGGCAGCACAGUAAGAGCUUGCUCUUACGGGUGGCGAGUGGCGGACGGGUGAGGAAUACAUCGGAAUCUACUUUUUCGUGGGGGUUAACGUAGGGAAACUUACGCUAAUACCGCAUACGACCUACGGGUGAAAGCAGGGGAUCUUCGGACCUUGCGCGAUUGAAUGAGCCGAUGUCGGAUUAGCUAGUUGGCGGGGUAAAGGCCCACCAAGGCGACGAUCCGUAGCUGGUCUGAGAGGAUGAUCAGCCACACUGGAACUGAGACACGGUCCAGACUACUACGGGAGGCAGCAGUGGGGAAUAUUGGACAAUGGGCGCAAGCCUGAUCCAGCCAUACCGCGUGGGUGAAGAAGGCCUUCGGGUUGUAAAGCCCUUUUGUUGGGAAAGAAAAGCAGCAGGUUAAUACCCCGCUGUUCUGACGGUACCCAAAGAAUAAGCACCGGCUAACUUCGUG